AUGUCGUCGAGUGAGGGGAAGAAGACGGCGUGCGUCACCGGAGGGAGCGGUUACAUCGCUUCAGCGCUCAUCAAGCUGCUGCUCCAGAAAGGCUACGCUGUCAAGACGACCGUCAGAGACCCCGAUGACACGGAGAAGAAUUCCCACCUCAAGGACUUGCAAGCGCUUGGCCCCUUGGAGGUCAUCCGUGCCCGGCUGGACGAAGAAGGCAGCUUCGACGAUGCAGCUUCCGGCUGUGACUACGCCUUCCUUGUCGCCGCUCUGAUGAACUUCGGCUCAGCAGAUCCUGAGAGAGAUAUGAUCAAGCCGGCCGUCCAAGGAACACUCAACGUGAUGAGGUCGUGCGUGCGAGCGGGGACGGUGAAGCGGGUGAUUCUGACGUCGUCGGACGCCAGCGUGUCCAGGAGGCCGCUGCAGGGCGGCGGCCACGUGCUGGACGAGAGCUCCUGGUCCAACGUCGAGUACAUCAGAGCCAACAAACCACCAACUUGGGAAUACGUCGUGUCCAAGGUGCUUCUCGAGAAGGCGGCGAGCAAAUUUGCGGAGGAGAACGGCAUCAUCCUCGUCAUCGUGCUGCCCGUGUUCACCUUGGGCGCGGCGCCGGUCUCCAAGCCCACAUCAAGCGUCCCCGUCACCCUCUCCCUGUUGUCUGGCAAUGAGACACAGCUGGACAUCCUGAUAGGCGUACAGUCGGUCACCGACUCCGUGUCGAUAUGCCACGUGGAGGAUCUGUGUCGCGCUGAGGUGUUUGUAGCCGAGAACGAGUCCUUGGCGGGCAGGUACAUCUGCUGCAGCCACAACACCACCUUCGUGCAGCUUGCCCGUCUCGUAGCCGAGAAGUACCACAAUACAAUGUGA
Molecule: ribosomal RNA, 858 nt
Filed under: Triticum aestivum (bread wheat)
Lineage: Eukaryota; Viridiplantae; Streptophyta; Magnoliopsida; Poales; Poaceae
Description: partial small subunit ribosomal RNA
Source: RNAcentral